RNAcentral lists this ribosomal RNA (498 nucleotides) under uncultured bacterium. Its description in RNAcentral is "bacterial SSU rRNA". It matches the Rfam family "Bacterial small subunit ribosomal RNA", at positions 28 to 517 of the family's 1533-position model. The record is from RNAcentral.
GAUGAACGCUAGCGGCAGGCUUAACACAUGCAAGUCGAGGGGCAGCAUAAACAUUGCUUGCAAUGUUUGAUGGCGACCGGCGCACGGGUGCGUAACGCGUAUGCAACCUACCUGUAACAGGGGGAUAACACUGAGAAAUUGGUACUAAUACCCCGUAACAUCAAAGAGGGCAUCCUUUUUGGUUGAAAGUUCCGGCGGUUACAGAUGGGCAUGCGUUGUAUUAGCUAGUAGGUGAGGUAACGGCUCACCUAGGCGACGAUACAUAGGGGUUCUGAGAGGAAGGUCCCCCACACUGGAACUGAGACACGGUCCAGACUCCUACGGGAGGCAGCAGUGAGGAAUAUUGGUCAAUGGUCGAGAGACUGAACCAGCCAUGCCGCGUGAAGGUCACGGCCCUAUGGGUCUUAAACUUCUUUUGUAAGGGAGCAAUAAGGUUCACGUGUGGACUGGUGAGAGUACCUUACGAAUAAGCAUCGGCUAACUCCGUGCCAGCAGCCG